AACCUCCGCAAUGUACGAAAGUGCGACGGGGGGAUCCCAAGUGUUAUGCUUUUUUGUAUAACUUUUCAUUAGUGUAAAAAGCUUUUAGAAUAAGAGCUGGGCAAGACCGGUGCCAGCCGCCGCGGUAACACCGGCAGCUCGAGUGGUAGCUGUUUUUAUUGGGCCUAAAGCGUUCGUAGCCGGUUUGAUAAGUCUUUGGUGAAAGCUUGUAGCUUAACUAUAAGAAUUGCUGGAGAUACUAUCAGACUUGAAGUCGGGAGAGGUUAGAGGUACUACCGGGGUAGGGGUGGAAUCCUAUAAUCCUGGGAGGACCACCUGUGGCGAAGGCGUCUAACUGGAACGAUCUUGACGGUGAGUAACGAAAGCCAGGGCGCGAACCGGAUUAGAUACCCGGGUAGUCCUGGCCGUAAACGAUGCGGACUUGGUGUUGGGGUGGCUUUGAGCUGCUCCAGUGCCGAAGGGAAGCUGUUAAGUCCGCCGCCUGGGAAGUACGGUCGCAAGACUGAAACUUAAAGGAAUU
This 520-nucleotide ribosomal RNA is filed under the name uncultured bacterium. RNAcentral describes it as "bacterial SSU rRNA". It matches the Rfam family "Archaeal small subunit ribosomal RNA", at positions 345 to 866 of the family's 1478-position model. The record is from RNAcentral.